RNAcentral lists this ribosomal RNA (160 nucleotides) under uncultured bacterium. Its description in RNAcentral is "partial 16S ribosomal RNA". It matches the Rfam family "Bacterial small subunit ribosomal RNA", at positions 355 to 507 of the family's 1533-position model. The record is from RNAcentral.
UGGGGAAUAUUGCACAAUGGGCGCAAGCCUGAUGCAGCCAUGCCGCGUGUGUGAAGAAGGCCUUCGGGUUGUAAAGCACUUUCAGCGGGGGAGGAAGGCGCAAGGUUAAUAACCUUGGCGAUUGACGUUACCCGCAGAAGAAGCACCGGCUAACUCCGUG